This 460-nucleotide ribosomal RNA is filed under the name uncultured bacterium. Its description in RNAcentral is "partial 16S ribosomal RNA". It matches the Rfam family "Bacterial small subunit ribosomal RNA", at positions 338 to 795 of the family's 1533-position model. The record is from RNAcentral.
CCUACGGGUGGCAGCAGUGAGGAAUAUUGGUCAAUGGGCGGAAGCCUGAACCAGCCAUGCCGCGUGCAGGAUGACGGCCCUAUGGGUUGUAAACUGCUUUUAUACGGGAGUAAACCCCCUUACGCGUAGCUCUCUGCAAGUACCGUACGAAUAAGGAUCGGCUAACUCCGUGCCAGCAGCCGCGGUAAUACGGAGGAUUCGGGCGUUAUCCGGAUUUAUUGGGUUUAAAGGGAGCGUAGGCGGUUUGAUAAGCGAGCUGUGAAAUCCCCGGGCUCAACUUCGGAAUUGCAGCUGAGACUGGUGGGCUAGAGAGUAGGUGAGGUAGGCGGAAUGCAUGGUGUAGCGGUGAAAUGCUUAGAUAUGAGACAGAACACCGAUUGCGAAGGCAGCUUACCAAGCUACUGCUGACGCUGAUGCACGAAAGCGUGGGGAGCAAACAGGAUUAGAUACCCGAGUAGUC